AACCACACUAUCAAUGAAUGGAUUCACCCGCGAGAUGAUGUGGCUCUUUCACAUAAGACGAGGACAUGGUAUCCUAUUACUAGCCAUCUCACGAAGAUAUACUACGUCAACAUCCUAGAUGGAGCAACCACGUCAUCUCACGGGUGAAUCCAUUCAUCGAUAGUGUGUUU
This is a non-coding RNA of Oryza nivara, 170 nucleotides long. The record is from Rfam. NCBI's taxonomy places the organism in Eukaryota, Viridiplantae, Streptophyta, Magnoliopsida, Poales, Poaceae.